UACGUAGGGGGCAAGCGUUGUCCGGAAUCAUUGGGCGUAAAGAGCGUGUAGGCGGCCAGAUAAGUCCGCUGUGAAAUCUCGAGGCUCAACUUCGAGCUGUCGGUGGAAACUGUCUGGCUAGAGUCCGGAAGAGGAGAAUGGAAUUCCUGGUGUAGCGGUGAAAUGCGCAGAUAUCAGGAGGAACACCGAUGGCGAAGGCAGGUCUCUGGGCCAUAACUGACGCUGAGAAGCGAAAGCAUGGGGAGCGAACAGG
RNAcentral lists this ribosomal RNA (253 nucleotides) under uncultured bacterium. RNAcentral describes it as "partial 16S ribosomal RNA". It matches the Rfam family "Bacterial small subunit ribosomal RNA", at positions 524 to 776 of the family's 1533-position model. The record is from RNAcentral.